Long non-coding RNA from Planococcus citri (citrus mealybug), 666 nucleotides. RefSeq lists it as uncharacterized. Lineage: Eukaryota; Metazoa; Arthropoda; Insecta; Hemiptera; Pseudococcidae. The record is from RefSeq and is a predicted model, not a curated record. The transcript is spliced from 2 exons.
UCCAUUCAAAUCCGCUUAUAAAUAAAUGAAAAAUGAAGUCGAGAUUGAAUUCAUUUAUGUAGUUGUUUGUUAGACGUUGUACGAGUAAAAACGUUCUUUAUUUUCACGCCACAACAAUGAUGAAAACAAUUGCCAUUCUCUUAAUCAUCUUGGCCAGCGUACAGGUAUACAAACAUCAGUGCGCUGUACUUCCAAACCAACUGGAAGCAAGACGGGUUCCUGAGGAAAAAAUUGUUACCUCUAAGAGAGCAACGGAUUCUUCGAACGAACUACCUGAAUACACCAUAGUUGGAGACAACGGCGUUAUACGAGUAAAGCGCUUGGGGAUAGAGAUGAAACAUAAUGAUGAAACUUUCAAAUCUGGCUCAGUGGAGUUAUGUAUCUAUCAGAAUAAAAUUUACAUCAAUAAGAAAUUGAUUGUUGAGAUAGAACGCCCUAUUUCAAAUGUUAUCUCAAGGACCAUACUCACUUCUAAUAAUACGUAUCGUUUCAAAAUUGAGACAUAUAAAAGCGGUCAAAUUUUGUAUCAAGAUGAUAAAGCGAAUAUUUCGAUUCCUCUCACGGGUGUUAUUACAAACCAAGUCCCUACAUAAAUAUUUUCGAAUGUAAGCAAUGUUUCGAAUGCAUUCAAACUGAUGAAUAAAUAAUUCAUGUUGUCACAAAGAA